This 72-nucleotide transfer RNA is filed under the name Cyanothece sp. SIO1E1. RNAcentral describes it as "tRNA-Asn". It matches the Rfam family "tRNA". Rfam says of the family: Transfer RNA (tRNA) molecules are approximately 80 nucleotides in length. Their secondary structure includes four short double-helical elements and three loops (D, anti-codon, and T loops). Further hydrogen bonds mediate the characteristic L-shaped molecular structure. tRNAs have two regions of fundamental functional importance: the anti-codon, which is responsible for specific mRNA codon recognition, and the 3' end, to which the tRNAs corresponding amino acid is attached (by aminoacyl-tRNA synthetases). tRNAs cope with the degeneracy of the genetic code in two manners: having more than one tRNA (with a specific anti-codon) for a particular amino acid; and 'wobble' base-pairing, i.e. permitting non-standard base-pairing at the 3rd anti-codon position. Lineage: Bacteria; Bacillati; Cyanobacteriota; Cyanophyceae; Gomontiellales; Cyanothecaceae. The record is from RNAcentral.
GGCUCUUUAGCAUAAUGGUAAUGCGGCUGACUGUUAAUCAGCGAGAUUUGGGUUCAAGUCCCAAGGGAGCCU